RNAcentral lists this long non-coding RNA (309 nucleotides) under Mytilus galloprovincialis (Mediterranean mussel). The record is from RNAcentral. Lineage: Eukaryota; Metazoa; Mollusca; Bivalvia; Mytilida; Mytilidae.
GUGUUGUACUACUUUUGGGACAAAUUAUAUCAAAAUUAUAGAAAACUUCAUCGGCUCUAACUCAAAAUAUGGACAACUUUAUGUUUAGGGCGUCUUGAAAUCUUUUGACAGCUUCCGAAGUGCUAGUUUUUAACCUUUUUCAACUGGACCAAAUCACUACUUUCCUUUAAAAUUCUGGACCCAAAUUUUUUUACAGUGUAAUUUCACCCCCUUACUUGCCAUUUGAGGCAUAAAACAUGGAGAAAUAAAUUUGGAAGGGGUAUAAAAAAUAUUGGCAAGUAACCCACUGUCAAUACUAGGAACUAUAUU